CCGACGCAGCGCGUGUCGUCGUGCUUCGACGCCGGCGGAGCUGAUGGAUCGCAGAGGAAGAACUGUUGACGGAGCUGGAGGAGGGGCGUGGACGUCGUUAGGGAGAGUACGAGAUGUCGCGUUCUUCCCGUUUUUGAGCAUGGAACUCGAUAUUCCAGUGGUCUCCUUUGUUUAACUUUGUAACCAAGUGAGUAAGUUGCGGGCACUUGGCACAAGGCGAACAUCUUAUUUAUGACAAGACCUAUUCAUUUAGUUUUGAAGUACUUCGAGGUCCAGUUUUCAAGAACGGCCACGGUUUGCGUUUUCUGGCUCAUAUUUAUUGAACCUACGUGAGACGGAAAAUGUUACGCCGUUUGUGCGAAUGCGUA
Molecule: unclassified non-coding RNA, 368 nt
Filed under: Pollicipes pollicipes
Lineage: Eukaryota; Metazoa; Arthropoda; Thecostraca; Pollicipedomorpha; Pollicipedidae
Description: probable G-protein coupled receptor No18, transcript variant X1
Source: RNAcentral